This 264-nucleotide ribosomal RNA is filed under the name uncultured bacterium. RNAcentral's name for it is "partial 16S ribosomal RNA". It matches the Rfam family "Bacterial small subunit ribosomal RNA", at positions 90 to 354 of the family's 1533-position model. The record is from RNAcentral.
CUUUAGUGGCGGACGGGUGAGUAACGCGUGGGUAACCUGCCCCAUACCGGGGGAUACCACCUGGAAACAGGUGCUAAUACCGCAUAAGCGCACGGGAGCGCAUGCUCCUGUGUGAAAAACUCCGGUGGUAUGGGAUGGACCCGCGUCUGAUUAGCCAGUUGGCAGGGUAACGGCCUACCAAAGCGACGAUCAGUAGCCGGCCUGAGAGGGUGGACGGCCACAUUGGGACUGAGACACGGCCCAAACUCCUACGGAAGGCAGCAG